CUGACAUUUCCAUCAUGAGGAAACCCCAUGCAGGAAAUCCAGGAUAUGAGCUGAUACCCGACCCCACCUGUNNNNNNNNNNNNNNNNNNNNNNNNNNNNNNNNNNNUCCUUCCUUUUUGAAAAAUGUGCUUUCUGAGAUCUGCUGCUCAUGGGGACAAAGACCCUUUCUCCGUUUCUCCUGGCAACGACUCCCUGCUCAGGCUCAGUCCCCACACAGAACCGGGCUCUUUCUUUCCCACUGGUGAUAGCUAACAAACGUCAUCACAUGGCCCCUCCAUACUUCCAUUUCUCUCAGUCUCUCAACGGAACUUCCUUUGCAAAUGUUACGAGCCUCAGGUGCUUUAGUCUACAGCCCACAGCACAGCUUUUCACUUCAGAUUUUACAGCUUUUUCACUGUCUCUGAGUUUUGCUUUAGACUUAGUUUGAGUCUUUCCCCAGUCCCAUUCUAUUAAUACAUGAUUUCCAAGAUGAGAAUUAUAUUUGGUCCAAUCCACUGCUCAUCUUGGAAGCAGGAAAGAUUGCUUUAAAAUUGUUAAAUGUCAGCAAUGGAGAAUGUAGUGUCAAAAAGACUCACAAUGGUAUGAUGAAGACGUAAAUCUGUACAUAUUUUCUGAAAUAUGUCUGGAGUACCAUUUAUAACUUUAAACAUUUGAAUUCUCCUAGAAAAUUUUCNNNNNNNNNNNNNNNNNNNNNNNNNNNNNNNNNNNNNNNNNNNNNNNNNNNNNNNNNNNNNNNNNNNNNNNNNNNNNNNNNNNNNNNNNNNNNNNNNNNAUGUCUGGAGCACCAUUUAUAACUUUAAACAUUUGAAUUCUCCUAGAAAAUUUUCCUAAUAAAAAUUUCAAAAAUCUGGUCACAGAUUUAUUAAAAAAUUAUACUUACUGAAGUUCUCUUUUAAUAACUACAAGUUAAUGACAUUAUAAUAGGUUAAGAUAUAUUUAAAUUGAAGUAUUAUAUACACAUGAAAAUAAUAUCAACUUAUGUAAUAUCACAAGGAAAUGCCACAGUUUGCUGUUGAACAGACAAAAGUACAAGGCAAAUUUUCAAUAUUUUUUAUAUCAACCAUGUAGAAAAUAUAGCCCUGGAAAAAAUCAUGUAAUAAUCUGCCUCUUAGUUAUUGCAUUACUGGCAAUGUUUCUCUCACUUUAUGCUUUUCUGUACUCUUCACUCUUAUGAUAGUGAGCACAUGUUACUUUGAUAAUCAGAAAGAUAACAAAUAAAACAAAAAUCCUGAGAUGCUCUCCCACAGAUAAGAACAGCUCUUGCAGGCCUCCACAAACCAUCAAAAGGGUUGUUUUUAAGGACCCCAAAGGAAGCUGCUCUGCAUUUUUAUUAAGAAUCCCUAAACUCAAGAAACCACCUGCUCAAAAACUAGGAAUAAAAAAUUCCAAUAAACUGAAAGUACUUUUGUUAUGACUUUAAAACAACUGAGGGGAUAUUCCUGCUUACUUUCUUACAUAUUUCAAGUAUGAUUUCACUUAAUGAAAAGUCCCCUGGUUUUUGCCCCAGAAUUGAUCAUAAUGGAAUAUUUUUAAUAACAUGUCUAUUCAUUUUCAUAAACAGUGACAAUUUAGAGCUAUGUUGCUGUGACAACAAUGUCCCAAGUUAUUUUCCUCAACAUCUAAAGGACUCUCCAUCUUCUUCUUUGAGCCUGCAGUGGUAGCAACACAUAAAAUGUGUUUAUCUCUAAGACUGUCAGUAAGUUGCUUCUCAAGUUUAGGGAAUUCCUAAUGAAGAUUCUAGGAAACAGAGCAGUUUCAAAAAAACACAUGAAGUUAGAAGAUAUGUCUUAUUUUGUAGGCAAUUAUAAACAAAGGACAUUUUCUUCAUUCUUUUUCUUUCAAUUUAUACUUACUUGAUUAUUUAUUAUGCCAGAAAUGAUUGCAUAAGAAAGGAAUUACUUUUUUUCCCUCUUAGGAUUCUUGUAAAGGGUUUCACUUUUCAUAAACCCCUGUACUUACUCUACUGCCUAUUCUGAUCUGAACACAUGGUACAGAAAUUUUUCUAACAGAGUUAUAUAUUAUAACUCAAAGUAAAAUUAAAUCAUGUGUUCACUUUAUCAAAAAGAAGCUAGUUCCUUGGAUUUCCAUUUCUGUGACUUUAUUUUGUUUAGUUCUUGAGACUACUUGAUUUUACAUCGCUCUCACUUUUCAAAAGUUUCAAAUAGUCACUCUAGAACUCUAAUCUAUAUUAUUCUCUGAUCUCCUUACCUUUGUAAAAUCAUUCAGAGAUUGGAUCGCUGUAUUACCUUUAUUAUCUAAUUAUAAGUACAGUAGUUUGUUUUAAAUUGACUUAAUAAUAGAAAAAAAUGAGAGGCAGAAUUUCUUCAACUAAUAUGCCAAGGGUCAGAAAACUGACCCACAGGCCAAAUUUCACUUGCCAUUUGUUAAGUUUUGUUAGGAUAAAGCCAUUCCCAUCUAUGUCUAUACUUUCCCAAUACUUUCAGUAUAUAGUGGCAGAGUUGAGCAGUUGCAAGAGACAUCAUUUGGCUGGAAAAACCUAAAAUAUUUACCAUCUGGGUUUUUUCGGGAGAAAAUUUGCCUACCUCUGUUGUGUGCAAUGUUCUCUGUUCUCAGAAAAUGCUUUCAACCUUCUACGACAAAUGGCAUUUUAGUUUUUACUAAGAUGCCCACUUCUUAAAAAUCUCAGGUACAUCUAUUUGCAAUUUUUUACGGAAUCUCCACACUGUUCUCCAAAGUGGCUGUACUAGUUUGCAUUCCCAC
This 2721-nucleotide long non-coding RNA is filed under the name Capra hircus (goat). RNAcentral's name for it is "lncRNA (ENSCHIG00010010412.1)". The record is from RNAcentral. Lineage: Eukaryota; Metazoa; Chordata; Mammalia; Artiodactyla; Bovidae.